RNAcentral lists this long non-coding RNA (9160 nucleotides) under Mytilus galloprovincialis (Mediterranean mussel). Lineage: Eukaryota; Metazoa; Mollusca; Bivalvia; Mytilida; Mytilidae. The record is from RNAcentral.
CGACGUAGACUGGGUCCCUGUCCUUAUUAUGGUUGUCUCACAUACUCGUAUCUUGCAAGGGUUAGAACCAGCUCACGAUACGACAAUAUUAGCGUGCUUUGAAAGCUUAAAUUUGCUCGCCAUAUUUAUAUACACCACAAUCAGAGUAAUAUAAAUCCAAGGUAAGUUUCACAAAUUAAAAUAUCAAAAUUAGAUAUAUAAGAAACUCUGCUAUUAUCAAGUUGGGAACAAACCCUCCAUCAUUGGCAUCAGAGACAUAAGAACAUGUAUUAUAUGUAUACUUAUUUUGAGUAGUCUCAGACUUAUUUAAGAAAUAAUUCUUUCAUGCCAUGCUCUAUGCUCAUUUUAACAUGGGUAGGCAUUAUAUUUAAGAAAUAAUUCAAGGGGGCUUGAAUAUAUCGUGAUUUUACCAUUGGUUGGCUCUAUAUGACAAAUAUUUUAACCUGAGCGUUAGCGAGGGGUAAAAUAUGGGCAGAAAGGGACAAUCCGUGAUAAAAUCACGAUACAUUCAAGCCCCCAUGAAUUAUUUCGAUUCUAAUAGGACAAAUACGGCAAUUCUUUUGGAUCAAAGUGCUGGAUGACAAUAUUUGCCGUUCCCAUAAAUAAACGCACACUUAAAUUGACGUAAAAGAAUGGAGCAAACUGAAGUAGUGACAUGCUUAAUCUAUUUUCAAUAAGGUAUUUAGAUAGUUUUGGAUGAAUUUAAAUGAUAAUUUACUUAAACAUGUUAAAUGUAUUAUAUGUAUAAAAAUAAUUGGCUUCACCAGAUUUUAGCAGCGUUUGUUUACGUUUCUUUGUUGUGAUGAUUUUCGGUUUCGCAAGCGUGUAUUUUCCCGUAAAUUCCUUAUAUUCUUACGUCAUCUUUCUAUGACGUCUGGUACCUCAUUCAUAAAAAAGCAUAUGACGUGGGAGAACAAUGGGAACAGACCUGGCAAAUAUAUUCAUAAUUUACCACGGGUGUGUACUCAAAGUGUUUGAAAGAUGUCAUGUUAGAAUUGUCAAUAUCUUAAUACUGAGCGUUAGCAACGUGUUAAAUGUUGACAAAUAUGAUGCCUACCCAUGUUGAAUUGAGCAUAUACCAUGGCAUGAUACAAUUAUUUCGAUUCUAAUAGGACAAUUUUGAACUUUUGUACUUCGAAGUGGACCUAGCUAUAACACAUUCUCGAAAAGGAACCAUUUUGAUUUGAUGAACAAACAACGUAAUAGAUACAUGUUAUCAACAGUUUAACGAUAAAAGAUGAACAGAUACAUUUAAACCUACUUUUAAAAUGAUUUUAUUUAAUGUACUAGCGAGCAACACCAACACAAAUGUCCAUGUUGAUCUCUUGAGUUGCAUUUUCCUUGUAACGUCAAUCACAUGCAGCCCAUGUUUUAUUGAAAUAAGAACAUGGUUUUGUUUCCAAAGGGAAAGAAGGACGUCAUAUUAGAAUGACUUAUUGACAAUCUAAGUACAAAGGAUUGAUUGAUUGAUUGUUGGUUGCUUAACGUCCAGUGGCAAAUAUUUUCAUGCAUAUUCACGAUGACAAGUUCACAAUAAAUACAAUGUAGGUUGAUACAAUACAGGCCAUCUGGGAUUAUGGUCGGGGAAAUUUGGACUGCCACUGGAAAAUGAGGAUACCGUUCUUGGGCAUGUAUAGUCCGCACUUUUUUUUCUUAAAUAUGUAGUUUGUACAAGGGGUGCGGACUAUACACAACUAUAGACAGUUUUCGAAAUUAAAAAAAAAUAUAUAUAUUUUUUUUUUGUCGUUUUUUCUGUUUUAAUAAUGUAUAUUGAAAACGUUUAUUAUAUUCACUUCAUUUAAUUCUUAUUUUUUUAUAACUUUUCUCUUCAAAAUUGAUUAUUCAAAGUAAAGGUGUGACAUCCUGCAUAUGUAAUCAAGAGGGGUAAUUAGGAUUAAGUAUGGGUGUGUAGCAAUUAAAUAAUGAUGUCAAGUUUUGACAGGUGUUAAAUAUUAUAACCCCAUUCAAUAAAACAACAUGAUCAAUGAAAAGAUUAUAUAAGAUUAAAUAGUUUUAAAAUUUGAUUACUGCUAAUUAAUUUAGAUAAAUGUUUGAUCUCUUUUUUUUCUUUGUUCCAUAAUAUUCAAAUUAUUUCUGUAAUAUUAUAUAUAUCAGCUUGGACAUACUUAGACAAAUGUUGAUUAAAGGGAUCUUAUGAUUAAUAAAUACUUUUAUAAAAUUAUUAAAUAUUAAUAACCUGAUGAAAAGCUCUACCAUUUCAUUUUUUUCAUGAAAUAAAUAAAACAUAAUUAUUUUUUUAUAAAAUACAUGGAUUUUACAGUGAACUAGACUUUUACAAAAAAUCUUUUAAAAAAAUACAGAAACUUUUUUUCUGGAUUUUGAGGGGAUGAAAAGGGGGUGCGGACUAUACAUAAAUGCGUACUAUACACUGCCGAAUACGGUAUAUUUGAUAGGGACAGAAAUUUUGCCUUGCAACAGGCCACCUACGGACCCUUCAAAGAGUUGUUGCAAGGGUUCUUAACGUGCAAAGAGCGUGGCACUCUCUUUACACGAGGUAUCAGAUUUAACAUCCCCCUUCUGACCGGACGUGACUGCGAACUUGAUACAUCCCGCACAUCCAAACGGAUGCCCCACUUCGGCAAGUGUUUUACUGCCGGUCGGGAGAAGACCAAGUAACCAUACAGAGAUGCAAACAGUUUUUUUUUCCUGUCAGACAAUGGGGCCUACAGGGUACCAAGUUUUUGCCAGACCCAUCAAAUUUCUGCAGACCAUUUUCACUCAAAAACUCAAAUGAAUAGGUGACUGGUUUGGUCUUUUACCGGGUUUCGACCCACUUACAAAUUUUAUCGUCCAUGACAUAUUUCCUGAACUUAUCAACUAUGCUUAAUAGACCUCCUUCCUAGAGAGCGAAUUUCUAAAACAAAAAACAUGACGGAAAUACGGAGAAUUGUUCGGGGCGAGAUGGACAAGGUACGAAAGACUAUUACUGGGCGGAAAUACUGGUUCCCGGAGUUAGAAAAUGCGGGGGAACAGGACAUUUACUUUUAUUAAAGAUGAUCGCAAUUUUAUAAACAAAAUACUCUGCCGGGGCCGACGGAGAUUUCAGUUUUGGCGGACCCAAGCGGACUUAAAUUUUGCUGGCCAUCAGGUCCUGCACAGCUACGAGUUUUGCCGGACCUGCAUAAAUUCUGCCCCUUAGGUCCGACGGGUCCGACGAUUAGUUGCAUCUGUCCAUAUUUCUAUACCCCAGUCACCCUUGGGGUCUAAGUACAAAGGAGAAACUACAUUAGUGAUUAUAAUUUUACAAGAGAGAUUAUCCUGUCAUCACGACAAAUAUUGAAGACUGGGUAUGAGUGGAAUAGUGAGUUUAUUGUCCCAGAGGCAGAGGUGCAAAUAUUGCCUUGAGUUGUAGCCUAGGGCAAUAGUUGUAAAAAAGUUAUUCGGAGCAGAUCUAAUGUCAUUUCGGAGACAAAAUUUAGCUAAAUACCAAAAGUGUAAAUACGUUUGUAAAUGGCGGAGAUAAAUCAACUAUUGUUAUAUAAAAAGCAGAAAUCCAACCAUACUGUUAAACAUUUACUUCAUAAAUUUUCUGAAAUGCUAAGGCUACAUGUAUGUCCUGCACUAUUAGUCGUCAACCUUGGCCCUGGUACAAUUGAAUAGGUAAAACGUGAUGUCUUAACGCCUCCUGUAUUUUUAAAAUAAUCCAGUCCCGGAGCUGCAUUUGAAAUUCAACUUAAUAUAAUGAUGCUUGCAGUCAAAUAGUUUCAUUGAGGUCCAAUAGUUGGAAACUAUUAACCGACUCAAAUAAAUCAAGGCUUGCAAUUUGAAAAAAAGUCAAAAUACAGAAAUAUGUACUUAUUUUAUUUAGAAAAUAAGGGUUUCCCCUGGGUCAUUUUUCUUUUUCACCACCUUUUUCCCCAAAACAAAAUAUUUUUUGCCAACUAACAACUACAUGUGAAUGUACAUUGUAACAUAAACAUAUUUUGCUUUAAAGAAUUCCUUCUUUUUAACAGGGCCCACCAAAAUAUAAAAUCAAUGGCCCAUUUUUAGAAUUAAUGGGCCAUGUUGUCAAAUGAGUGGGCCAUUCGUUUACAACAACAAAAAUUUUUUUUAAAUCGGUCCAUCACAAACUUGGACUAUCACAAACUCGGCCUACCAUUAUUUAUAUGCAGAAAUAAAUUGAACAAACUUGGACUAUGAUCAGUAGAUUGUGUUGUUAACUGUUUGACCUAAGCUCCAGUGAUUCCUUAUAUAAUCAACCAAAUUUUCCCCUCUGGAUCUACCUAUGCCCUUUUAAGAUUGAAAAGUACAUGUAAAUAUAUGUUGAUGGUCACAUAAACAGAUACAAUGUUGUUAUAAAGGCAAGCUGAAGCAAACAUUUAUUAUACAUAUUUCUAAAAAUAGAUUUGGAGUAAAAUUUGAAAUAAAAACAGAGAUUUCUUUGAUCUUACCAAAUAGUAAAAGUAAUAAGCUUUUUAAAAAAGCUAGCCGUUUCUUAGCUGAUGAAAGUGGAAAGUGUUCUCGCUUUGUAGACUAAUUCAUUAAGAAUAGCCUUGCAUAUUAAUCAACAAAUUUUACCACACACAUUAAUUAUGAAGCAGAUAUAUAUCUUUUAAUGUUGUGUGUGAAUGCCAAAAAGGUCCUUUAAUAUCAUACUAAUCCUUAAAAUCAUGCUUGUAAAUGCUUUACAUAUUUUUCAAACAAUUUAUUGUCUCAUCAUAAAAUAUCAUAACCAUGAUUUCCUUCAAGUUUUCCUAUGUUUUUCGUGUAUAAAAUGUGUAAACACUUACAGUGAUGGACUGGAUUGCAUGUUAAACAAUCCUGUGUGUUUACAAAACUCCAGGAGAAUCGGCUAUUUAUAGUUACCUGUGUACCAAUAUGCAUGAUUGGUGACAAGGCAAAAUCUAAUUGUUAAAAUAGAGAGGAUAAAUCCGAUACUUUACGGGAUUGAAAGACAUUUACUAGGUUCGGAUUGUCCCUACCAAUCAACGAACUUGAAUUAUUCACAUCUCCGUAAUACAUGUAUAUUCCAAUCAUGUACUGUAGUAUGAAGCAUUCAGCCCGCAGACUGUCCAUCGUUCAUUUCUUAACAACAUCUCCUUGGAGACGUUAAUAACACUACUGCAUGAUGCCUUAUUGAAUAUUAAUCGUAUUUAAAUAACUAUUAUUGAAUGACGAAAACAUUGACGUACUACAGGAUCACUGUGACAGGGUUCAAUACUAAGGCCAUUGUUGUUUAACUAUUUAUAAAUCAUUAGGAUAUUUUCUGUUUGUUGAAAAUUUUAUAUAAUUAUCUAAACAUGACAAUAAGUUUGUCUUUCUGUACUCCAGAUUUUGAUUUCUUAAUAUUAACUUUGGAAUCUGAGUAAUAAUUCUUAUUGAGUGGUUCUGGGUGAAUAAAAUGCAAGCAAAUCCAUGCUGUGAAGCUACUGGAUAUUUUGUUAAUUGCAAUUUCAGAGUUUUGUUCUUACAUGUACACAUGUACUUGUUUGAUUUAAUAAAAAGGUGUCAACAGUAUAUGUGGCAAUAUAUGAUGUCAUAUUUCCAGUUCAAUAAAAUAAAUUUGUAGGGACAUAAAAAUAAUAUAACUGAAAAGGCAAAUAAGUCAUUAAGUGGAAGAUUUUUAUUCUUAAAUGAAUUUAUUGUUACUUUUCUUUUUAUCUUUUUUAUCAAGUCAUUUAUAUUUCUUGCUUUAUAACAUUUCAAAAAUAAAUUAUUUAAUUUAAAGUUAAGUACUGAUAAUUAAUUUCAAAAAAUUAAGAUAACAUUUAACAUCAUACAUUGUACUUAUAUUUGAAUCAGAGUUUGCUCUAGUUUGAUUUUUUGUAUAGUUUGUAAUGGGCCGAGAUAUCAGGGAGUCAUUUUGUAGUGGUACCAACCUGUAGGAUUCUAAUUGAUAUGAUGAAUAUUGUUCCUGUCCUUUUGUAAUUUCAAUUUCAAUGAGUAAAAUGAAGUUAAUUAUGUUCCUGGAUAUUUAUGUGACCAUCCAGAUACAAAAGAAUAUUUAUGUCUGUGAUUUUAAAUAAUAAAAGAUAAAGUAAUAACUGAGUUACUAGAACUUUGUCAAUGGCAAACUAAAAGUAAUAACUGAGUUACUAGAACUUUGACAAUGGCAAACUAAAAGUAAUAACUGAGUUACUAGAACUUUGACAAUGGCAAACUAAAAGUAAUAACUGAAGUUACUAGAAUUUGACAAUGGCAAACUAAAAGUAAUAACUGAGUUACUAGAACUUUGACAAUGGCAAAACUAAAAGUAAUAACUGAGUUACUAGAAACUUUGACAAUGGCAAAGCUAAAAGUAAUAACUGAGUUACUAGAACUUUGACAAUGGCAAACUAAAUAAUAACUGAUUACUAGAACUAAUGGCAAAAGUAAUAACUGAGUUACUAGAACUUUGACAGUGGCAAACUAAAAGUAAUAAACUAAGUUACUAGAACUUUGACACAAUGGAAAAAAGUAAUAACUAAGUUUACUAACUUUGAAACUAAAAGUAAUAACUGAGUUAUUAGAACUUUGACAAAUGGACAAUGGCAAACUAAAAGUAAUAACUGAGUUACUAGAACUUUGACAAUGGCAAACUAAAAGUAAUAACUGAGUUACUAGAGUUGAAAUGAUUUUUGGCAAGUACAAUGCUACCAUCAUACAGUAUUACAGUAACUAGGGCCAUAACUUCUUCCAAACAGGGCAAUAUUUACGAGAACCUUUAUUUACAAUGUACAUGUAUAUAUAUACUGGUACUGUUGUCUUGUUCAUGGCAAAAAUUUUGCAGUCAUAUACAAUGUAUUAGUAUAUAUAUAUAUCAUGUUGUCGUCAGCAUUAUCCGAAGACAGUUGGUUUCUGUUUUCCGGCCUAUAAUAAGUAAAUAGAAAUAUAUGAAAUUUAAACACAAUGUUUAAAACCACAAAAGGAAGGUUGGGAUCAAUUUUGGGGAUGAAAGUCCCAACAGUUUAGGGAUAAUUGUAUCUGUACAUGUACUGAUGAUGUAGUAUUGUAUCUGUACAAAUGUACAUGUACUGAUGAUGUUAUAUUGUAUAUGUACAUGUAUAUGAUGUACUGAUGAUGUAGUUAUAUCUGUAUGUGUACUGAUGAUGUAGUAUUAUAUCUGUAUGUGUGAUGUGAUGUAGGUAAUUAUCUGUAUUUGUGAUACUGAUGAUGUAGUAUUAUAUCUGUAUGUGUACUGAUGAUGUAGUAUUGUAUCUGUAUGUGUACUGAUGAUGUAGUAUUAUAUCUGUAUGUGUACUGAUGAUGUAGUAUUAUAUCUGUAUGUGUACUGAUGAUGUAGUAUUGUAUCUGUAUGUGUACUGAUGAUGUAGUAUUAUAGUCUGUAUGUGUACUGAUGAUUGUAGUAUUGUAUCUGAUGUGUACUGAUGAUGUAGUAUUUAUCUGUAUGUGUACUGAUGAUGUAUUAUAUCUGUAUUGUACUGAUGAUGUAGUCUGUAUGUGUACUGAUGUAGUAUUGUAUCUGUAUGUGUACUGAAUGAUGUAGUAUAUAUCUGUAUGUGUACUGAUGACUGUAGUAUUGUAUGUACUGAUGAUGUAGUAUUGUAUCUGUAUGUGUACUGAUGAUGUAGUAUGUAUCGUAUAUGUUACUGAUGAUGUAGUAGUAUUGUAUCUGUAUGUGUACUGUAUUGAUGUAUCUGUAUGUGUACUGAUGAUGUAGUUAUUGUAUCUGUAUGUGUAUGUGAUGUAUGUAUAUGUAUCUGUAUGUGUACUGAUGAUGUAUGUUUGUAUGCUGUAUGUGUAAUGAUGAUGUACUGUAUGAGUAUCUGUAUGUGUACUGAUGAUGUAGUACAGUAUUGUAUCUGUAUGUAUGUGACUGAUUGUACUAUGUGUACUGAUGAUGUAGUAUUGUAUCUGUAUGUGUACUGAUGAUGUAGUAUUGUAUCUGUAUGUGUACUGAUGAUGUAGUUAUAUCUGUAUGUGUACUGAUGAUGUAGUAUUGUAUCUGUAUGUACUUAGUGGUAUGUAUCUGUAUGUGUACUGAUGAUUCGCAUGAUGUAGUAUGUAUCUGUAGUGUACUGAUGAUGUAAUUAUGUAGUACAUGUCUGUAUGACUGAUGAUGCAGAUUGUAUCUGAUGCUGUACUGAUGAUGUUAUUGUAUCUGUAUGUGUACUGUGAUGUAGUUAUAUCUGUAUGGUACUGAUUGUAGUAUUGUAAUGUGUACUGAUGAUGCAGUAUUGUAUCUGUGUGUACUGAUGAUGUGUAUUGUAUCUGUAUGAAUGAUAUGUGUACUGAUCUGAUGAUGCAGUAUGUAACAAUGUACAUGUACUGAUGAUGGUUUAUUGUACGAGUUCUGAUGAUGUAGAUUGUAUCUGUAUGUGUAAAAUAUCUGUGUAUGAUAGGUACAAGUAAUGAUGUACUUAUAAUGAUGAUGUAGUAUAGUAUCUGAUCAUGUACUGAUGAUGUUGUAUCAUGUACUGAUGAUUUAGUAUACAUGUAGUAUCUGUACAUGUUCUGAUGAUGUAGUUACAUUGUAUAUCUGUAUGUAGGUGUUUUGUCUAUUUCAUAUAAUAUAACCAACAUGAUAGUUGAAAAUAAAUGUAACAUCAUGUUGUAAUGGUUAGUCAAACAAAUAUCACUUGCUUACCACAGCGCUAUCACAAAAUCCUGGGGAGAGCACAGUAACAGUACAUGUUCUGAUGCUUGAAGAUAUUGCUUUGAUAUUUGGUAUAUUGUUUUAUCAUUACAAGUUACAAAUCAAGUUCCAAUUUUGUUCCAGUCUGAUGAUUUUGAGAAGAGUUAUGAUCCUUGUUUGGACUUAAAAAAUUCUUAAAAAAGUAUCAGUUUUUCACAAUUUUUUCUCAUCAUGCUUGAAGGUAUUGAUAAUUGGUAUAUAAUUUAUUUUAUAAUGACAAGUUUCAGACCAAGUUCAAAUUUUGUUCCGAUCUGAUGAUUUUGUGCAGAGUAAUGGUGCUUCGACUUAGAAAAUACACUUGAAUAGUCAGUUUCCACACUUUUUUUUCGUCAUGCUUGAAGACAUUGAUUUGAUAUUUGUUAUAAAGUUUUACAAUGACUAGUUAUAGAUCAAGUUAGCAUUUUGUUCCAGUACAAUUAAUUUUAACCUGGUAGGGGACUAUGUAUUGGCUUGCAAUACUCUCGGAAUGCUUGUUAUGAAUACAAAUGUAUAUAUUAAUUAUGAUGUAUUCUUUUUUCAGGAAUCUUAUACGCAAUAGAAACUUUUCCAGGCCAACAUGAAGUA